AAUCACAUUCAAAAUCUCUGUACCAGUACUCGACGUAAUUCGAGGCGUGACCCUCUGUACGGUUCAAUCUUAGCCGUUUAUUUUCUUUCUUACGGCCCGAUCUCAAUUCUCAUUUUGUCUCAUCUGCGGCAUUAACUAGGUUAUCUUAAUUACCGCCGUCUAUUCAUCAUUAAAGCCGACCUCGAAACUCACUUCGACGUGACGGUUCGAUACGACGGCCUUUCUUCUUCUCCAAGCUUUUCAUUCUUUUUGUCUCUUCUAUUUCUUCUUCGUCUUCAAUGAAACUUUUCUUUCGCUUCCCUUUCCUUCAUCUUCUCUGAUUUCUUUUAUUUUUCGCUUCGCUUUUUUCUCUUUUCCUUUUUCGACUAAUGGCGCUGGUUCCGCCUCUUCCUUCUCAUCCAUCCCUGGAUUAUACUAUACUUAAACCCUUU
Molecule: long non-coding RNA, 431 nt
Filed under: Ananas comosus (pineapple)
Lineage: Eukaryota; Viridiplantae; Streptophyta; Magnoliopsida; Poales; Bromeliaceae
Description: long non-coding RNA (ACOM_LNC025962)
Source: RNAcentral